RNAcentral lists this ribosomal RNA (253 nucleotides) under uncultured bacterium. Its description in RNAcentral is "partial 16S ribosomal RNA". It matches the Rfam family "Bacterial small subunit ribosomal RNA", at positions 524 to 776 of the family's 1533-position model. RNAcentral also lists the same sequence under 1 other name. The record is from RNAcentral.
UACGGAGGGGGCUAGCGUUGUUCGGAAUUACUGGGCGUAAAGCGCACGUAGGCGGUUAUUCAAGUCAGAGGUGAAAGCCCGGGGCUCAACCCCGGAACGGCCUUUGAAACUAGAUGACUAGAAUCUUGGAGAGGCGAGUGGAAUUCCGAGUGUAGAGGUGAAAUUCGUAGAUAUUCGGAAGAACACCAGUGGCGAAGGCGACUCGCUGGACAAGUAUUGACGCUGAGGUGCGAAAGCGUGGGGAGCAAACAGG